Molecule: ribosomal RNA, 506 nt
Filed under: uncultured bacterium
Lineage: Bacteria
Description: partial 16S ribosomal RNA
Rfam family: Bacterial small subunit ribosomal RNA
Source: RNAcentral
AUUGAACGCUGGCGGCAGGCCUAACACAUGCAAGUCGAACGGCAGCACAGAAGAGCUUGCUCUUUGGGUGGCGAGUGGCGGACGGGUGAGUAAUGUCUGGGAAACUGCCCGAUGGAGGGGGAUAACUACUGGAAACGGUAGCUAAUACCGCAUAACGUCGCGAGACCAAAGUGGGGGACCUUCGGGCCUCACACCAUCGGAUGUGCCCAGAUGGGAUUAGCUAGUAGGUGGGGUAAUGGCUCACCUAGGCGACGAUCCAUAGCUGGUCUGAGAGGAUGAACGACCACACUGGAAGUGAGACACGGUCCAGACUCAUACGGGAGGCAGCAGUGGGGAAUAUUGCACAAUGGGCGCAAGCCUGAUGCAGCCAUGCCGCGUGUAUGAAGAAGGCCUUCGGGUUGUAAAGUACUUUCAGCGGGGAGGAAGGCGGGGAGGUUAAUAACCUUGCCGAUUGACGUUACCCGCAGAAGAAGCACCGGCUAACUCCGUGCCAGCCGCCGCCGUAA